CAGUAGCCGCGGGAAUACAGAGGGUGCGAGCGUUAAUCGGAUUUACUGGGCGUAAAGCGUGCGUAGGCGGCUUUUUAAGUCGGAUGUGAAAUCCCUGAGCUUAACUUAGGAAUUGCAUUCGAUACUGGGAAGCUAGAGUAUGGGAGAGGAUGGUAGAAUUCCAGGUGUAGCGGUGAAAUGCGUAGAGAUCUGGAGGAAUACCGAUGGCGAAGGCAGCCAUCUGGCCCAAUACUGACGCUGAGGUACGAAAGCAUGGGGAGCAAACAGGAUUAGAGACCCCCGUAGUCCCUGUCUCUUAUAU
Molecule: ribosomal RNA, 301 nt
Filed under: uncultured bacterium
Lineage: Bacteria
Description: partial 16S ribosomal RNA
Rfam family: Bacterial small subunit ribosomal RNA
Source: RNAcentral